Molecule: long non-coding RNA, 13190 nt
Filed under: Populus trichocarpa (black cottonwood)
Lineage: Eukaryota; Viridiplantae; Streptophyta; Magnoliopsida; Malpighiales; Salicaceae
Description: long non-coding RNA (PTRI_LNC000409)
Source: RNAcentral
UUUUUUUUAAUUUUUCUGGUAUCUUCAAAUUGAGAUGUAUGGAAAUUUUGUUGUACCUGUGUGUGUAUACUCAUUUUCUUCUGUUAUCUGUCACUGUACCAAUUUCUGGUCCCAACAUGGCAUCACUUCAAAAGUUAUGAACCAUCAUAAGUUUCAUUGGUUCAUCAAUAGGCAACUUACGGGAUUCUGGAAAAAUGCAUGGAAAAUAUAAUUAUAGCCGUAUGCUCUUUUUAUCAGCUGUCUUGCAAUGUUAACAUUAUUACACUGUUAUUGAUCCUACAUUUUCAUUUAAAGCAUUCAAAAAAGGAACUGCUUUUCUUGCUUGGGACAUGGGAAUGUCAUCUUUCUGUUGGUUUACAGUAACUCAUGCUUUGGCAAUGUGUUCUGGAUAUGUUGACUCAUGUUAAGACAGUUUUUUUAGUGUUAGCAUUUACCAUAUAGAUCUUCAUGCAUAUUGCAUUUCUGGCCUCUAGAAGAAGGGGAAAUAGGUAGAUAAUUUUAGUAUAAUUGCAUAAUCUAUGUGUUUGAAUCAUACCUGAGCUGUCCUUUGGUUCAGAUUCUUGUGGCAGCAAAAUGCCAGUUUUGCAAUCUCAAGACACUAUCAUCGCUUUGAUGUGUUUGAAGAGGCUGAAGCUAACAAAGCUGCAGGAAAGUGUGACAAUUCAUCCAUUGAUUACCAGAUUGAAUUUUAUAAAAAAGAGGGUUUAUCGCCAUAUUCCAAGGCUAAGCUUCCAAUAACCAGUGGUAGGUGUAUAAUCCUAUGUGUGUGCGCACGCGCUUCAUGUUCUUGAAGAUUUGUAUUUCUUAUGUUUUCUGCUCAAUGACUGACCUUUUGCAGAUGUUCCUGAAGGUUGUGUUAUCAUAAGGGAACAUAUUCCCAUCACAAAUCUGUUUACCUGCCUGUGGUUCAAUGAAGUUGAUCGGUUUACUGCCAGAGAUCAGUUAAGCUUCUCCACUGUGAGGGAUAAAAUAAUGGCUAAAGUUGAUUGGAGCAUCAAUAUGUUUUUGGAUUGUGAGAGGCGUAAUUUUGUGAUUCAGGUACAUGUUUAUGUGUUGUCUUUCUAUUAUCAGGGGAGAUGAAACCAGUGCAUCUAAAACUAAGCAAUUUGUUAUUGUUCUGCUCUAAAUGAACCUUAUAAGUGAACUUUUCUAAUGAAGUUGGCCAAAAAAGCUGAAUGACUUUAAUUUUAUUGUUAUAUUAACUUAUGUAUUUUUUUUCCUUCCAUGUUUAACAUUGAGCAGCACCUCCUUCCUCUGUUGAAAGAGGAAAGUAUGACAAUUUAUUAUUGGUCUGCUCUAUGUUGCCUGUUUGUCUUAUUUAUUAUUGGUCUGAUUUUAGCCGCAAAUGUUCCUUGUUUCCCAAACACAGAGUUCUGGCAACUAAAUGGAUCCUCUGACAACAGUGUAUUGAACAAAGCUGUCCAGCUACUAUAUACAGUGCACGAGACUGAUCUCUAUGGGUGUCUUUGAUCCCUUCUCUAUUUUUUGAUCCUCCAAGUGUUUCUUUGGGUGUUUAAUGUGGUUACUCCAUGCAUUUUAUCAUGUUCUCCAUACAAGUGACAUUUGAGGCUAAAUUCCGUCCUGGGAGUGCAGCUAGUAUGCUUUGACCAAAUGAUGCUAAAAGCAGGAACGAUCAAAUAAAAACAAUCUUUAAUGGGGAUAAUUAACUUGGAUUUAAAAAAUAAAACUCCUAUGCUUUGGGAUGCUAAAUCCUACUACUAUUAGUUUCUCUGUAACAAAAUGCCACUGUUUUAUGGUACUUUUAUGCCACUUGAUUUUUCUUUUGACUUGCAGGCUUACCACAAAGAUUUAUUGGACCACAUGCCACCUCCAGUUGCUCAUGUUAUUCGACAUCCACCACCAUUACAUCGUGAUAGUUCAGCUGGGAGAAACCCAAGUAAAAAUUCAAGGCGUGGAAGAGAUAGGAGAUCUGGUUCAAGGCAACACCGCAAGGCUGCUGCGGGUAACAGGGAGAAGCAAACCUUUUUGUAGGAGAGGUAAAAGUAGGUGUUUUUUAUUUUUUUUCAUUAUACUGCACGGGGAAGAUGGAUUUGGUUAGAAGUAUUUAGAAUGACCCAAAAACAAAAGCAACCGAAAUUUUGUUUGAAAUUAUUGAUAUCUCAUAUUCUUUCAUUGUUGUAAAUACUUCAUACCAAAUAAGUCCACACCAGCUGCAAUCAUUGAAUGCUUCUUGAUUUUCAUUUACUUGGUGCACGAACAUGCAUUGGCCAUCACUUGUGUAUCUUGAAAAUGUCAGCUUUCAUGCUUUAUGCGUUGUCCAGUUAUAGAAAUGGAAGAUAUACUUUCUACAUUGGCCAUCACUUGUGUAUCUUGAAAAUGGCAGCUUUCAGGCUUUUUGCGUUGUCCAGUUAUAGAAAUGGAAGAUAUACUUUCUAUCCUCUAUACAAUAAAUACCGUGCCAUCCUGAGUGCGGAGCGACUAAUCCUUGUUCUUAGGAGUGUUGUUCAUCUUCUCUUUUGAGCUAUUAAGAUGCACUGCUUAUUCUGCUUUUCUAAGCUUGAAUCUGAUCUUUCCUUCAUGUGUUCUUCCAAGGUUUUGGGAAUGAGUUGUUUAAUUCUAGGGCAUUUGUAAGAUGAGAAAAUCUUAGUGUUUUCAGGCCUACGGAAUGUUUCCUAACCUGUGACUGUACAAGUAAAUAGGAAGAUUUCUGAACUGGCCUCGUCCAUGCUCUUACCUCAAUACCCAGAUUGAAAAUUUUGGUACCCUAUAUGUUGAAUCUCAUGUUUCUCCACUCUUAUCAAAUCCUCAACUAAAUUCAAAAGCAGGAAUUGAAAGUGGAAGGAUAGAUUAUCCUUCAACCCUACAGACAGCACAUAACAUGAUCCUUCAACCCUACAGACAGCACAUAACAUGAAAGGGUCUCACAGGAGAGGAGAGGAGAGGCCUAUCAGCAAGAUACAAGUUCCAGUGGUGAGAAUCGACCAUACACUUAAAAUAACAUACAAUGAAGUAUACCUGCAAAAUAUAACAGCUGUAUUGAAUACAAUAAUGGCUUCUUCUCUGUGAUGAUAAUAUAAUAAUGUGGUUUUGUCAUUCGAUUUGCAUACAGAACAGAGCAAUACAGCUUGAGAUAUGUUAAAAGUAUUCUAUGGAUCCAUUUUUUCAAGUGCAUGCCGAAAGCACUUUUGACAAUUAAAAGCAACCUCAAGUUUUAGCAAGUUCGAGUUAAACUAUAAAGGUUCACACUUUUUAGGCAUUGAUUCUCAUUUUCUGUUAAUUAUUUCUUACUCUUACAGUUCAUUUUAUAAACAAUUUUCUUAAUUCGAUGAUAAAAGAAAUAUCUUCCUAGUAUCAGUUAAAAUUUGAUAACACCUGCAGCUCAACUAAUAAGAUGCAUCGAAGAUGAUGUUGAAGUUAACAAAUUGUCAUGACACUUCCUGUUAGCUUUUUUCUCUUGUUUAAAAUUAUUAUUUUGAAAUUAUUUUAAUAAGCUAAUAUUAAAAAUAAAUUUUAAAAAAUAAAAAAAAUAGGACAUGAUAAAAGUUAUAUUUAUUACACCCUCUGUAGAUUUCUCGUGAGGAAGAAAGGUCGUGUGAACUUGAUCCUCCUACAUGACGAUACAUGGAUUCUAACUUCCAAAAAGCAAAAAUAAAAAAUUCCAAAAAGAGCUUUUCUUCUACAUUUAAGAUAAUUAGAAACACAAAGGGUAGAGGGUCGGCCAGUGAACAUGUGACCCACAAAUGUGGGAUUGCUAAGCACAAGAAGCAAAGAAAGGCAUAAAAAAACGAAGGCAUUUUGUGCAUGGGAGGAAGGUAUGGUAUGGGAUUAUUGAGAGCAAGAAAUCUCUAUGGAUUGCCACUUGAAAGGAUAUAAAACACCAAAUUAUUGCUUUCUCUACCACCUCUCUGUCCAAAUCUACAUACCUUAAUUAAAUAAGUCUGAGCCCACAGAAUUAUUAUAUCCAUUAAUUUAGCUCAAUUAUUAUAUCACCCAUAAAUGUCACAUCCAGAUCAGCACCAAUAAUUUUACCUUCCGUUCCAGUUUCAUUUCCCUUCAAUUUGUUUACAGCUUUAGGGUUUUGGGAUGCAAAAGGGUUUCCUGGAUCUGUCUCUCAACAUCUUGAAUUUGAGGUUAGGAUCCUAUAGUCUUUUAUUGGUGGAUUAAAGGGGUCUUAUAUUGAAAUUUGAGGUGGGGUUUAUGUGGGUUUUUCUUGUUUAAUACACUUUGAUUCAAGAUUUGUUUUCUUGGUACAAUUGGUGGGGGAGAUCAAGUUAUGGUCUUGAUUAAUGGGUUUAUCUUGGUUUUUGAGUCUUGGGUUGCUAUCGAAUUCUGGGCUUUAAAUCUUGAUCAAUGAUUCGAUCGUCUUUCUUCAAGAUCACACAUUUAAAAAAGUAGGUUUGAGGGCUCUUUCAAUAGGGUCGAUGUUACUCUUUUCUUGUAUUGUACUUUGGUAGCUAUGGUUUAAAGGCCUUUUCUUGUUGGGUUGAGCCAUUGUUUCUGAUAGAGUUAAAGAAAGGAGAGGGGAGAGUAGUUCUUUUUGGUGCUUGAUUAAAUGGGAUCCUCUGGCUUCUUUCUGAUAUGUAUGCUUCAUUCUGUGAUGGCUCUAACUUGUGGAGCUUUGAUGAUGUUUUACACAAAUGAGGCCACUGUGUUUGGUCAUGGCAUUGAAAUAGCUACAAAGCUUAAAGGUUCAACACCACAUGACCAACUCCUGGUCCAAACCUCUGAUUCCUUUUCUGGGUUGCUAUUGUUUGCCAUUGGGUUCCUUUUGUUCAUGGUGGCAUUUGUUAAGGACAGAGAGUUCCAGAGUUUCUUUGCUAAAGGUUGUGUCUUGCUACAUGUUUCAAUGGCUUUCUGGAGGAUUUACUUUGAGAGGAAGCUUGAAGAUCUGGCUCGUGAUUUGCCUAGACUAGUUGUUGGUGACAUUGCAUUGGCUCUUUCUUGGGUUUUCUUUCUUGUUUAUUCUUGGAGAGAGAAGUAUGAUUAGCAAGCUACAAGAGUCAGAUAGCCAGUCCAUCAUCGAAUAAAUUUGAGCUGUUAUUGUGGUAGCGUUACGGGUUCUGCCAAGUGGGAUCUUUUUUCCUGGCUCUGUUCUGUAAAUUACAGGGUGAAUCUGGAACUUUAAAGAAAUGGACGCAAAGCAUGGAUCGGAUUCUUGGUUAGUGCGCGUUUUAAAUUCUUGAUUGGAUCUUGAACAAGCUUGGAUUCCAAGAAAAGCUGGAGAUGAGAUCUGGGGGCUGCCAUUUUGUUUUUAAUUGAGAAUCUUCAACUUGAGAAGUUUCUUGCACUUACUGUGGUGCCUCUGUGGGCUUCUUGUAUUGAAUUUCAAUGGCAUUUGUAAAUCAACCUUCUUCAAAUAGAUAUUUGAUAAUAAUUAGAAAUGUGAAUCCCAUAAAAGUUUACUCGUUUGCUGCCAUCUCUUACUUUCCUGGCAAUCUUUUCUUGCUAUUUUUCCAGUCUAUUUGAUUUACUGAUAUUGCAAUUUGCACGCAUCCGCAGCUUUGAGUUUGGGACAAAACUAUGCCAAGACAUUUCCAGGAUUUUGUUAAGCAAUCCGAGGGAGGAAUGAUUUGUCUAAUUAAUCAAACGGCAAGAACUGUAAAUGGAGUCACACCAACUUUUAUUUUUUUAUUUUUUGGUUGUAUAUAUUAUAUGAAUUCUCAUCAUAUUAUAUCAUAUUAUUCGAGCUAUUUCCUCUUUGCAUUUCAAGAAUAAUUUGGAAAAAAAAAUAAUUUUAUUUAUUUAUUUUAAAUUAAUAAUUUUUUAAUAUUUUAAUAUUAUUUUGAUAUAUUGAUAUUAUUUAUCAUCAUAUUUUACAAGUUAUUUUGUAUUUGUAUUUUAAAAAUAUUUUUUUAAAAAAAUAUUAUAUUAUUACUAUUUUUAUUUAUUUUAAAUUAAUUAUUUUUUGGUGUUUUCAUAUUUUUUUAAUGUAUUAAUAUUAAAAAUAAAAAAAAUAUUAUUUUAAUAUAUUUUUAAAUAAAAAUUAUUUUAAAAAAUAAUUAUUAUUAUAAAAUCAAACAGAAUUUUAAUCUUUUAAUUUAUUGAAGAUUGACCUUAAUUUUUGUUGCAAACAUAAAAAAAAAAAGUUAUAAAGAAGGGGGAUUAUACGACUUCUUAUCUUUUCCGAUGCUGAAAUUUUAUCAUUCUAAAAAUAAUAAUUAUUAUUCCUAUAAUAAUAUUUUUUAUUUUGAAAAAUAACUCUUAAAUUUAUAUGGAAGGAAAACUAAAAUUUAUUGAAAAUUAUUUUUAGUUGGUUUGAGAGUGUGAUUAUUUUUUAAAAUAUUUUUAAUUUAAAAAUAUAUUAAAAUAAUAUAUUUUUUAUAUCAUCAAAUCAAAUAAUCUAAGAAAAAUUAAUUUUAUUAAAAAAAAAGAUUUAGCUUCUGUUUCAGCCGCAAUCCGAGUGCUUAUUCUACGUUAAAAAGAAAAGUAUAUGCUGUUAUUGGACCAUGAAGGCUCGGCCCACGGACGCCACAACAUCUUGUCUAGGGACCCGUUUCUUUCUUCUUCUUCUUCUUCUCUCUCUCUGAAGUUUCUAGCAUUCAACCACAACAGAAACCCUGCAGAGCCCCAACUCCUGAAACCUUUGACAAAAUUCUAACGGUAACUUAUUCUUUUCUUUUGCUCUUUCUAUGUUUCCUUGUGUUCAUCUGUUCAUUUAUUGUCUUUUAAGUUGUAGAUGGUCUGUUAUGGUUUAGUGUUUUGCUUUGUUUCUGGUUUUAUUGUUUGAAUAAACUUUUUUCUUUUUCUUUUUUCAGAAUUGUUAUUUGCUUUUGUUUUUUCUUUAAUUCUAAUUGUUAUGAGGAAAGGUCAUCAAAAGCUCAAAUGGUUUUAUCUUGAAGAUGAUUUUUUAGUCAAGAAUGCAAUUUUGUAAUGGCAAAUGAUUAUAAUUGGUAUCAUUAAUUGAUUUUGGUUUCUGGGUAUAUGUUUUGCAUAAAUUUCAAUAUUUAGGUUCCGUUUUAAAGAAGAUACUGUAGUUUUCAAGAUAGUUGAGAAACUGAGAACAUGAUAGACAUGAUCUUUCACUGCUAUGAAAAGGAUGAUCAUGCCGGAGUUCUUAGAGAAAAAGGUCGGAUUUUUACUCGAGGAAAAUGAAUUAUUUAUUUUUUUAAAAAAAAAAGUUUGGUUACUUGAAGUUAUUGAUUGGGAAGCUUUCAUACUGUUGGUUCUGAACUUGGGUGAAGCGCAAUUUUGAACUUUUUAAGUUUCUAUUUUCUGUAUGUUGAUUUUGGGUAUAUAGUUAGUCAGUUGCAUAGAGUACUGCUAUAUAACACAAAAAUAAGUUAGCGAAAAGUUCACAAGCAGAUAAAGUGGCCAGAGAAGUGAUUUCGUUCAACUUUUGGGCUAUUUAUUUUUUGUGCCUGUUCGUGUCCUAUUUGUUACAAAAUAUUCGUGUUAUACAGCUUUCUUCAAUUGGGUAAUUGAGAAGCUUGGUUGAGUUAAGUUGCUUCCUGGAUUUAAAAAGAAAUGGGGUGUCUUUUUUGAGUGGUUGUUUCCUUGAACCCAUAUAUAAGUGCAUUUAUAUUAGGCUUUUGUGAUUGCUUCUCAUGACUGUGUCAGAAUCAGAUUCAUCGGUUUGAUUGAGUAUAAUGUUGACAGAUUUUUGGCCAAAUGUCUAAUUUUUAUGAGGGGAAAUGGGAAUAUGAACAAAAACAAACCUUUCAUGUUGUUGAUUUACCACGCGGAGUACUUAAUCAGGUCUUAAGUUUCUGUCUUAGUAAGCAAAACAGCACUUAAUGGUAUGGCAGUGUUUCAAAUUGUUUGAUGGAGUCGGAUAUCAUACUGAAUUGCUUGUGCUAUGAGCUGCAUUAGAAGGAUGAUUAGUGAUCCCUUUGUAGGAAAACAAAUUGGGAUAUGAGCAAAUCUCAUAUGGUGGAGGACAGUCAUGCAAUGGAACAUCUGAACAAAAAUUUUGAAUUGUUUUAGUGGAGUUGAUUGAUUGGACAAUUUGUAGAACAAGGACUCCAGGUGGCAAAGGCAUUAAUUGGCAAAAAGAGAGAAAAGAAAAGGUGCACUUUUUUCUGAUGAAGAAAAAGAUGUCUCUAUUCACAACAGAAAAAAUCUCCUCUUUUUUUUUUUUCUGAUGAACCAAGCAAUUGCAAGCAGCUAGUAAUGAACAACAAACAAUACAGUAAUGAAGAAAUAGAUGUCUCUCUAUUCACAACAGAAAAACUCUCCUCUAGUGAAUUGUAUAAUCAUUGGAAUUAUAACAACGAAAAAAAACCUAUGUAAUGAGUUUAUAAAUAGAGUAGAGGCUCUUGAAUGAUUUUCUUCAUUCCUUUCUUUAUUUCUUUAUGCCUUACAUGUGUUUUCUGCAGAUUUGUGAUGGGUGGACUGCCUUUGCAAAAUGCUUCCCCUACCCCAGUUGUCAGCCAGGUGUCAGUAAUUACAAAUUCUACUAAAGAAUCAAAGCCCAAGAAGAAGAUCUGCUGUGCUUGCCCUGAAACUAAGAAACUAAGGGACGAAUGCAUUGUGGAGCAUGGUGAAGCUGCAUGCGCAAAAUGGAUUGAGGCUCAUCGACUGUGCCUCCGUGCUGAGGGCUUUAACAUUUGAGUUUGGUAGAUAUGGUUUAGUUCAUAAAUCAAUACCAUUUUGGAAUAUAGAAUACUUGUUUUGGAAUUACACAUACUGAAUAGGAGGAAUAAAGCUAGAAAACACAGGUUUUCUUGACCUUCUGUACUUGCAGUCAUUUUUAUCUUCUUGAAUUAUGAUUUCUUUCCUUCCUCUGUGACAAUUGAAAAUGAUCAGAAUCCUUGGGUGGGGUUGAUAUUGUGUUGUCUCUUCUCUUUGUCAGUGUUAUCUGAUUAUUUUUUGAACCUGUGAUUUUACAGGCAGAGGAAAGUUGUUCCUCUGAUGUAUUGCAUUCCUUACAUGCCAAUAACUCUCCCAUUUGUGAUUCCUUAUUUAAAUUCCAUUACGGUGUUAUGUAUUGUUCUGAACUUCUGAUGAUAGAUUAUAGACUCUCAUCUCGUACUUAUGCAAGCUUAUCCUCACAUGUUGAUUGUUAUCCUUACAAGUAGCAGUUGCUAAGGAUGAAGUGAAAAGUUAUAAUCUGAAGUGUAUUGUCCAGAAUUAGACAUUCUCAUCAACUUUGCUGCAACCUGAAUUAUCCUCUCUGUCACUUUUGAGCCAUUAUAUCUCCCUUGAACUCAAGUGAGCUUGUCGAAGGGCUGAGAAGCAACUCUGAGAGGAUAACUCUGGGUUAGAACGUCUAACUUGGACAAUGCAUCUUCAGACAAUAACAUCUCUUAUCUUCUUAUUUCAUCUUUGCAACUUCUAAUCACUGCAUGCCAGGCCAGUUCUAUCUUCUUUGUCAAUAUCGAGAACAGAUUCUCCUAGUUUUAUAACUCGCGAGUUCUAUCUUUUUUAUUCAUUGCUUCCUAUGCUAAUUGUCAUUUAGUUCAGAGAACAGAUUCUCCUUUUUUUUUUUUCCUUCCUUAUCUGUGUCCAUUGGCUAUAAAAUGGAAAAGGUAAAUAAGAAGAGAAAUCUAGACGUGUGAGUUCAAAGAGUUGGUUGACUGCAAGAAUUUCAAACUGGAAGACAUAUUAGGUCAUCUUUCAUGGUAUUUCAAAGCUUGUACACUACAUUUCAGAUUGUUUGCCAAAACUUCAGUGAUGAAACAGGAAAAUGGAAAAAACCCAGUCUUCUUCUCAUGUUUCUUUUACGUUUUAUGUUUGUAGUCUAGUGAUAAGUUUAUGCCCCUCCUUUAUGGUAUUUGCACUAUUUUGGUCGUUCUACAUGCUGCGGUUAAUUUUCGAUUCUAUUUGGUUUUUACUCAAAAUAAAAAAAUAAUAAUAAUAAUAACUAAACCAAAAGUUUUUAUUAUUUUAAAUUAAUAACCGAAACUGGUUCAAACUAGUUAUUUUAGUUCGGUUCAGUUAAUUGAAGGAAAAAACCGAUUUAAUAAAACUAUCGAGUGUUAAAUCCCCUGCUGCGAAUCACUUCAUUCUAAUCCAGAAAUAGCAUAUUAUCCCGAACGUAAAUAAUAGGAGUAAUAGCAUAAAAAGGAAGGAAAAAAAAACAUAUUUUCUCCCGAUGGAAGCGUAAGUUUCUUCAAUAGGCUUUGUCCAUUGCAGAAGUGUUCCACCAGCGUCCAACAAUAAUGCAUCAUAUGCUUUUUUAACAUACUUUAUUGCUCCUGUAAUGUAAUGAAACAAAGUGAACGAAUCUGAUCUAUUGAAAUAGUGUACGCAUUUAUAUAUAUGUACUAAUAAAUAAAUAAAUAAAUAAAGCACUAAGUAGAAAGGAAAAGUGACCAGACCAGCAGAGUGGAUGGCAAUGGAAGAAGAGCUUGAUAGCUUCAAUUUGAUAGGUUUCAGAGCUUUAAGCAAAUAGUUCCCAUGACAUUGGCCAAACGGGAAAUGGAGAUUUAGGAAUGGAAUUGAGCAAAAUAAAAGAAAGAUAUACCUUUAAAGAUUGCUAGAUACCUUUGUUUUUUCUCGAGACUUUGAACCUUAAAACUGGAGAAGACAAGAAACCAGAGAAGGGGAGAUGCGAGAACUGAGAUAGAGAGAAAACCUGGAGGAGGGCGGCGGCUGGGUUUGACUUGGCCUUUAGAGUUAGAAGAAAAGUUUAUAUUUAUACUGUUUUUCUUUCAGUGGUGGUUUUCUUGCUCACCCCUAAUUACCAUGUCGUGGAACAAAUUAGGAUAAGAGUUGUAUUGAUCUCAAAUAAGCUGAUGCCGUCGUACCAGAGAGCUCAUGAAGAAAAAAAUUGAGGAGUUCCAGUGAAGAUGAUACGCAGAAUAAUCUUGAAUUUAGAACAGUACUAGUUGGCAAAGAAGGAACAAAACUGAAAUGCAUGGUAAAUGAUUUAAAAUUGUGAGAAAGAAAUCGGGAUUCAAUGAUUUUGUUUUGAAUUUGAUGUUCUUAAUUCCUUUCUUCUUCCCCCGUGUCUCCAACCCAACGGUGUCUUGUUUCUGAGUAUGAAAGCAGGAUUCAAUGAUUUUGCUUUGAAUUUGCUGUAAUCAAAGCAAAAGAGGAACUGCUGGCUUGCCCUGAAACUAAGAAACUAAAACACGACAGCAUUUUGGAGAAUGGUGAAGCUGUUUGUGUGAAAUAGGUUAAGACUCAUUGUCCAGUGAGGACUUCAACAUUUGGCAAAUGAAUAUCACUUCGAGGAUAGAACAGAUACGAGGAAUAAAGCUAAAAACCGCAACUUUGCUUGACUUUUUCAUAUCUUCAAUCAUUUUUUCUUGGAACUCCACUAACAAUUGAAAAUGGCCAAAAUGCAUGAAUGAGGCCUUGAUACUGUGUUUGUCUCAUCUCUUUGUCGAUGCUUUAUUCUUGUCUGUACAUGUGAUUUAACAGGUAGACUAAAGCUCCUUUCUCCAAUGUAUUCCAUUCCUUAAGAUGCCAUUGAAGUCUUCCAUUCAUUUAUGAUUCCUUCUUCAUAUUCCUUAAUCAAUGGUGUUAGAUAUUGUUCUCAGCUUUUCUUACGAUGGUUAUUGACAAUUUAUCAUAAGGAGAUCUAAUGGCUGAAAAGCAAGUAACCAAGGAUGGAUAAUUAUUCUACACGCUACUAUAAAUUGAUCUAAAGGUCUUCAGACAGUAACCCUUUCCCCGAUUUCUUCUGUUCAUCUUUUACGACCACUAAUCAUUGCAUGCCUUGCUAGUUGUAUGAUCAAACAAUUGCUGGCCAGGUUACGUACUUUCUUGUGAUCCUUUUGAGUAUUCUCUUUCGCAAUCACUUGAACAUAUUGCUGGCCAUGCCGUUUCUCUUCGAGUUCAGAGAUCUCAGAUUAGAUUCUUCCAAUUUAACUUUCUUUUGCUUUUGGGUUUAUCUUUUAUGACUUCUCAUUGCUGCGUGACAUAUUUCUUGUGGAAUCUUUAAGUGUUGUGUGCAUUAGCAGAAAAUAAAAGGAAAAAAAUAAUCUUGACACGAUCCCAACGAAGAAGAGUUGAUUGCAAGAUUGUGGUCUGGGAAAAAAACUGAUUUCUUAAGCAAUAACGAUCUCAAAUUAACUUGCCUAAUUAUUGUAAUGCUAUCCGAUUGUAAUUCGCUGUGGUGAAGCUAUGCUUUCAUGCAUCAAAUUUUAUGCCAUUUGAUCACAGAGCAUACCGCUUGAUAGGCUAUGAACUCUAGAUUAAUAAAGUUCAGCAAUAUUCUUGCUCUGGUAGUCUAGGUCUACUUUAGCCAUGGAGACAAUAUAGUUGUGAAGUAAAUGAUUAGAAAGAUGAGAGAAGCAGAGUACUACACUAAUUAUAAGACUUCAUUAAAACCACACCAGAGGCCACAGACAUGGCCAAUACAUAACAAUGAAGAAGACACAAAGAUAAAGACACUCACGGACACUUUUGUUUGUUCACUCCACACCCACAAGUACAGAAGAACACAGAUUAUUUAUCAGAAAUUACAUUAUUAAUCCACUCCCAAUCCCACAUCAAACAUGAUAGUUGAUGUGCUUGCUUAAUGACCGCAUGUGCAGGUAGUGCAAGUGCAGCCAGUACCGCAGUUGCACUUGCCAUCGUUCUCAGCUGCUGGCACCUCCAUGACUACGGAGGAGACAUAGCUGCAAAAAGAAUUAGACUCCAUUGUAUUAGCAUCGUGUUCCCAUUUCCUUCAUUAUCAAUCUUAACUGACGAACCAAAAAUGUUUAGGAAUAAAGCAAUAUAUAUUAUUCAUUCUGCUUAUUAAUCAUCAGUGCAUGCUGAAGCUUCAAUCAUGUCUCUCAACGCUAAUUAAGACUACGACAACAGGACUUUAAAGAUAGAGAUGCGAAAGUUACUUCUUCUCAGUCUCGACGAUGCCAGCAGUGUAGCUGCUUCCCUUCUUGCUGCAAAUUAAUCACAAAUUGCAUGGCAUGAGAGAGCAGAUAGCAUAAUGUAUGCACGAAAGCCAUGCAGAAACAUGAACUACCUACUAUACAGCUUGCACAACAUAUAUAAACCAUAAACAAGCAAGAGCUGCUUAAUCAGGUUUGCAAAAGAAGGGGAAAAAAAGAAGAAGAAUUCUUACACACACUGGGUCUUGUCAGCGCAGUCGCAGGUGUCGCAGGUGCUAGACAUGAUGAUUGAUUGAUUAAGCUUAAAUGGAUGAACUAAAAGACUUGGAGUAUGAAUGUGUUCUCUGUGUAGCUUAAUGAGUUGUUAUAUCUUCAAGCCCUGCUCUAUUUAUAGAAGGAGAGAGCGCAUCAGUAAUGGCUGCGAUGAAGAGGAAGGGCAAUUGUGGGACCCUCUUAAGGCAUGAGAGAAGCACACUCUUCUCGAGGAAACGUCCGAAGGAAUCUUGA